GACGUAGGAGGCGAGCGUUAUCCGGAUUCACUGGGCGUAAAGCGCGCGCAGGCGGAUUGGUAAGUCUGAUGUGAAAGCUCCCGGCUCAACUGGGAGAAGCCAUUGGAUACUGCUGAUCUUGAGACACUUAGAGGAGAGUGGAAUUCCCGGUGUAGUGGUGGAAUGCGUAGAUAUCGGGAGGAACACCAGUGGCGAAAGCGGCUCUCUGGGAGUGUUCUGACGCUGAGGCGCGAAAGCGUGGGGAGCAAACCGGAUUA
RNAcentral lists this ribosomal RNA (257 nucleotides) under uncultured prokaryote. Its description in RNAcentral is "partial 16S ribosomal RNA". It matches the Rfam family "Bacterial small subunit ribosomal RNA", at positions 524 to 780 of the family's 1533-position model. The record is from RNAcentral.